This 500-nucleotide ribosomal RNA is filed under the name uncultured bacterium. RNAcentral describes it as "partial 16S ribosomal RNA". It matches the Rfam family "Bacterial small subunit ribosomal RNA", at positions 30 to 523 of the family's 1533-position model. The record is from RNAcentral.
AUUGAACGCUGGCGGCAUGCCUUACACAUGCAAGUCGAACGGCAGCGGGGACUUCGGUCCGCCGGCGAGUGGCGAACGGGUGAGUAAUGUAUCGGAACGUACCAUUGAGUGGGGGAUAACUAGCCGAAAGGAUAGCUAAUACCGCAUAUUCUCUCCGGAGGAAAGCAGGGGACCGCAAGGCCUUGCGCUCAUUGAGCGGCCGAUAUCAGAUUAGCUAGUUGGUGAGGUAAAGGCUCACAAAGGCGACGAUCUGUAGCGGGUCUGAGAGGAUGAUCCGCCACGCGGGAACGGAGACACGGUCCAGACUCCUACGGGAGGCAGCAGUGGGGAAGUUUGGACAAUAGGGGAAACCCUUAUCCGGACAUACCGCGUGGGUGAAGAAGGCCUUCGGGUUGUAAAGCUCUUUCGGCCGGGAAAAAAUCGCAUGGGUUAAUACCCUGUGUGGAUGAUGGAACCGGAAUAAGAAGCACCGGCUAACUACGUGCCAGCAGCCGCCGUAA